RNAcentral lists this ribosomal RNA (226 nucleotides) under Pandalus hypsinotus. Its description in RNAcentral is "partial 28S ribosomal RNA". The record is from RNAcentral. Lineage: Eukaryota; Metazoa; Arthropoda; Malacostraca; Decapoda; Pandalidae.
CCUCAGUAAGGGCGACUGAAACGGGAACAGCCCAGCGCAUAACCUCGCGGUCUUCCCGGCCGUCGAGGGGUGUUGCGUUUCGGUGGAUCCGUCCCGCUCGAGCCGCUUACCGCCUAAGUCAUUGCUUGAAAGCAGCCCCAAGGAGGGUGAUAGCCGCUCGAGCCGCUUACCGCCUAAGUCAUUGCUUGAAAGCAGCCCCAAGGAGGGUGAUAGUAGAGUCGGGUUG